CCUGAACUUAUUCAUCUAGAUGUGUGGAAAACCUUCAAAUCUAGGUGUUUCUAUGGCACAACACAUGUACAGUUUGAGGAAACAGGAUUUCACAGCAGAGUCAAGAUAAAGCAUGAGUCAACUCAAGCACAUGGGAAACAAAGUGGAAAGUGUUAACAGCUAAAAGCUUUGUCAGCGACCAUGAUGGAUGGUUGGGGUUACAGAAGUGGAAAAAUACAUCAGCUUCCUCCCAAGACAGAUAGAAUCAGGUCAAAGGUGGGGACUCAGGGGAGAGGG
This is a long non-coding RNA of Gambusia affinis (western mosquitofish), 276 nucleotides long. RefSeq lists it as uncharacterized. The record is from RefSeq and is a predicted model, not a curated record. Lineage: Eukaryota; Metazoa; Chordata; Actinopteri; Cyprinodontiformes; Poeciliidae. The transcript is spliced from 3 exons.